Molecule: ribosomal RNA, 508 nt
Filed under: uncultured bacterium
Lineage: Bacteria
Description: partial 16S ribosomal RNA
Rfam family: Bacterial small subunit ribosomal RNA
Source: RNAcentral
AUUGAACGCUGGCGGCAUGCCUAACACAUGCAAGUCGAACGGCAGCACAGUCCGUAGCAAUACGGAUGGGUGGCGAGUGGCGGACGGGUGCGUAAUGUGUAGGGAUCUGCCCUGAAGUGGGGGACAACCCGGGGAAACUCGGGCUAAGACCGCAUAAUACUCUACGGAGGAAAUCUGGCUACGUAAGUAGCUGGAGCUUUAGGAUGAACCUACAUCCGAUUAGCUAGUUGGUGAGGUAAUGGCUCACCAAGGCGAUGAUCGGUAGCUGGUCUGAGAGGAUGACCAGCCACACUGGGACUGAGACACGGCCCAGACUCCUACGGGAGGCAGCAGUGGGGAAUAUUGGACAAUGGGGGAAACCCUGAUCCAGCAAUGCCGCGUGGGUGAAGAAGGCCUUCGGGUUGUAAAGCCCUUUAGGUGGGAAGAAGGUUUUAGGGCGAUAAACCCUAGAAUUUGACGGUACCCACAGAAUAAGCACCGGCUAACUCUGUGCCAGCAGCCGCAGUAA